RNAcentral lists this ribosomal RNA (562 nucleotides) under Escherichia coli. RNAcentral's name for it is "partial 23S ribosomal RNA". It matches the Rfam family "Bacterial large subunit ribosomal RNA", at positions 1 to 593 of the family's 2925-position model. The record is from RNAcentral. Lineage: Bacteria; Pseudomonadati; Pseudomonadota; Gammaproteobacteria; Enterobacterales; Enterobacteriaceae.
GGGUUGUGAGGUUAAGCGACUAAGCGUACACGGUGGAUGCCCUGGCAGUCAGAGGCGAUGAAGGACGUGCUAAUCUGCGAUAAGCGUCGGUAAGGUGAUAUGAACCGUUAUAACCGGCGAUUUCCGAAUGGGGAAACCCAGUGUGUUUCGACACACUAUCAUUAACUGAAUCCAUAGGUUAAUGAGGCGAACCGGGGGAACUGAAACAUCUAAGUACCCCGAGGAAAAGAAAUCAACCGAGAUUCCCCCAGUAGCGGCGAGCGAACGGGGAGGAGCCCAGAGCCUGAAUCAGUGUGUGUGUUAGUGGAAGUGCCUGGAAAGGCGCGCGAUACAGGGUGACAGCCCCGUACACAAAAAUGCACAUGCUGUGAGCUCGAUGAGUAGGGCGGGACACGUGGUAUCCUGUCUGAAUAUGGGGGGACCAUCCUCCAAGGCUAAAUACUCCUGACUGACCGAUAGUGAACCAGUACCGUGAGGGAAAGGCGAAAAGAACCCCGGCGAGGGGAGUGAAAAAGAACCUGAAACCGUGUACGUACAAGCAGUGGGAGCACAGAGCAAUCUG